This 961-nucleotide ribosomal RNA is filed under the name Actinomycetes bacterium. Its description in RNAcentral is "bacterial SSU rRNA". It matches the Rfam family "Bacterial small subunit ribosomal RNA", at positions 73 to 1048 of the family's 1533-position model. The record is from RNAcentral. Lineage: Bacteria; Bacillati; Actinomycetota; Actinomycetes.
CUCGAGCUUGCUCGAGGUGAUCAGUGGCGAACGGGUGAGUAACACGUGAGUAACCUGCCCCAGACUCUGGGAUAACUCCGAGAAAUCGGUGCUAAUACCGGAUACGAGACGCACAGGCAUCUGUAGCGUCUGGAAAGAAUUUCGGUCUGGGAUGGACUCGCGGCCUAUCAGUUAGUUGGUGAGGUAACGGCUCACCAAGACGACGACGGGUAGCCGGCCUGAGAGGGCGACCGGCCACACUGGGACUGAGACACGGCCCAGACUCCUACGGGAGGCAGCAGUGGGGAAUAUUGCACAAUGGGCGCAAGCCUGAUGCAGCGACGCCGCGUGGGGGAUGAAGGCCUUCGGGUUGUAAACCCCUUUCAGCAGGGAAGAAGCGAAAGUGACGGUACCUGCAGAAGAAGCGCCGGCUAACUACGUGCCAGCAGCCGCGGUAAUACGUAGGGCGCAAGCGUUGUCCGGAAUUAUUGGGCGUAAAGAGCUCGUAGGCGGUUUGUCGCGUCUGCUGUGAAAACCCGAGGCUCAACCUCGGGCCUGCAGUGGGUACGGGCAGACUAGAGUGCGGUAGGGGAGACUGGAAUUCCUGGUGUAGCGGUGGAAUGCGCAGAUAUCAGGAGGAACACCGAUGGCGAAGGCAGGUCUCUGGGCCGCAACUGACGCUGAGGAGCGAAAGCAUGGGGAGCGAACAGGAUUAGAUACCCUGGUAGUCCAUGCCGUAAACGUUGGGCACUAGGUGUGGGGCUCAUUCCACGAGUUCCGUGCCGCAGCUAACGCAUUAAGUGCCCCGCCUGGGGAGUACGGCCGCAAGGCUAAAACUCAAAGGAAUUGACGGGGGCCCGCACAAGCGGCGGAGCAUGCGGAUUAAUUCGAUGCAACGCGAAGAACCUUACCAAGGCUUGACAUAUACCGAAAACUCAUGGAGACAUGGGGUCCGCAAGGGCGGUAUACAGGUGGUGCAUGG